This 513-nucleotide ribosomal RNA is filed under the name uncultured bacterium. Its description in RNAcentral is "partial 16S ribosomal RNA". It matches the Rfam family "Bacterial small subunit ribosomal RNA", at positions 28 to 523 of the family's 1533-position model. The record is from RNAcentral.
GACGAACGCUGGCGGCAUGCCUAAUACAUGCAAGUCGAGCGAACAGAUGAAGUGCUUGCACUUCUGACGUUAGCGGCGAACGGGUGAGUAACACGUAAGGAACCUACCUAUAAGCGGGGGAUAACAUUCGGAAACGGGUGCUAAUACCGCAUAAUAUCUUCUUCCGCAUGGAAGAAGAUUGAAAGACGGCUCUCCUGUCCCUUAUAGAUGACCUUGCGGUGCAUUAGUUAGUUGGUGGGGUAACGGCCUACCAAGACGAUGAUGCAUAGCCGACCUGAGAGGGUGAUCGGCCACAUUGGGACUGAGACACGGCCCAAACUCCUACGGGAGGCAGCAGUAGGGAAUCUUCCGCAAUGGGCGAAAGCCUGACGGAGCAAUGCCGCGUGAGUGAAGAAGGCCUUCGGGUCGUAAAACUCUGUUAUAAGAGAAGAACAAAUUGUAGAGUAACUGCUACAGUCUUGACGGUAUCUUAUCAGAAAGCCACGGCUAACUACGUGCCAGCAGCCGCAGUAA